RNAcentral lists this ribosomal RNA (165 nucleotides) under Halogeometricum borinquense DSM 11551. RNAcentral describes it as "partial 23S ribosomal RNA". It matches the Rfam family "Archaeal large subunit ribosomal RNA", at positions 630 to 799 of the family's 2987-position model. The record is from RNAcentral. Lineage: Archaea; Methanobacteriati; Methanobacteriota; Halobacteria; Halobacteriales; Haloferacaceae.
AGCCGGUGUUCUGUCGUACGUUUUGAAAAACGAACCAGGGAGUGCACUUACUUGGCGAGUCUAACUGGAUCAUCCAGGAAGGCGCAGGGAAACCGACAAGGCCGCAGCAUUGCGAGGGCCGCCGUGUUCAAGCGCGGGGAGUCAAGUGGGUGCGACCCGAAACCA